Molecule: RNase P RNA, 392 nt
Filed under: Treponema rectale
Lineage: Bacteria; Pseudomonadati; Spirochaetota; Spirochaetia; Treponematales; Treponemataceae
Description: Treponema sp. CHPA Bacterial RNase P class A
Rfam family: Bacterial RNase P class A
About the family: Ribonuclease P (RNase P) is a ubiquitous endoribonuclease, found in archaea, bacteria and eukarya as well as chloroplasts and mitochondria.
Source: Rfam by way of RNAcentral
UUGAGGAUACAUGGCCGCUCGGAUUUUCUGUGAUGAUACGGAACUUCCGUGAGGUAAAGUCCGGGCUCCACCGGAAAAGAUGCCGGAUAACGUCCGGGUAGAAAAGGGUAGCUGCUGACAUUCAGCAUAGCCCCUUGACUAACAGAAAGUGCUACAGAAAAUUACCGCCCUGUUACAGGGUAAGGGUGAAAAGGCAGGGUAAGAGCCUACCGCGGAACUGGUAACAGUUCCGGCAUAAGCAAACCUCAUCUGGAGCAAGAUCAUGCAGCAGUUUGACAUUCCGGUCUUAUACUGCGGGUAGAUUGCUGGAGACAUCUGGUAACAGAUGCCGUGGAUAGAUGACCAUACAUCGAAAGAUGUGCCAGAACCCGGCUUACCGUAUCCUUUUUUUU